Molecule: ribosomal RNA, 548 nt
Filed under: uncultured bacterium
Lineage: Bacteria
Description: bacterial SSU rRNA
Rfam family: Bacterial small subunit ribosomal RNA
Source: RNAcentral
UGGGGAAUAUUGGACAAUGGGGGCAACCCUGAUCCAGCAAUGCCGCGUGUGUGAAGAAGGCCUUCGGGUUGUAAAGCACUUUCGGUGGGGACAAACAAGGCGGAGCUAACAUCUCCGUCCCUGAUGGUACCCAAAGAAGAAGCACCGGCUAACUCUGUGCCAGCAGCCGCGGUAAUACAGAGGGUGCGAGCGUUAAUCGGAAUUACUGGGCGUAAAGCGUGCGUAGGUGGUUUGUUAAGUCAGGUGUGAAAUCCCGGGGCUCAACCUCGAAAUGGCGCUUGAUACUGGCAGACUCGAGUGUGGUAGAGGAUAGUGGAAUUCCCGGUGUAGCGGUGAAAUGCGUAGAUAUCGGGAGGAACAUCAGUGGCGAAGGCGGCUAUCUGGACCAACACUGACACUGAGGUACGAAAGCGUGGGUAGCAAACAGGAUUAGAUACCCUGGUAGUCCACGCCCUAAACGAUGGGUACUAGACGUCGGGAAGCUUGUCUUCUUGGUGUCGCAGCUAACGCAAUAAGUACCCCGCCUGGGGAGUACGGUCGCAAGAUUA